UAUGAGAAAGUUAUGGUG
Molecule: microRNA, 18 nt
Filed under: Corchorus olitorius
Lineage: Eukaryota; Viridiplantae; Streptophyta; Magnoliopsida; Malvales; Malvaceae
Description: cin-miR-4214-
Source: RNAcentral